Molecule: non-coding RNA, 90 nt
Organism: Genlisea aurea
Lineage: Eukaryota; Viridiplantae; Streptophyta; Magnoliopsida; Lamiales; Lentibulariaceae
Source: Rfam
GUGACAGAAGAGAGUAAGCACAGAUGGUGUUUUCGAUCAUGAUGUUUCGGACAUGGUUGGAGCUAUUCGUGCUUACCCUCUUUCUGUCAC